RNAcentral lists this long non-coding RNA (905 nucleotides) under Homo sapiens (human). RNAcentral's name for it is "HSALNT0150396". Lineage: Eukaryota; Metazoa; Chordata; Mammalia; Primates; Hominidae. The record is from RNAcentral.
CUUUCAGCUUCCACCAUGGGAUGAUACAGCAUGAAGGCCCUCACCAGAUAUGCACCCCUUGAUUUUGGACUUCCCAGACUCCAGAACUUCAAUCAGUUUUUAUUUAACAGCUUAAAAAACGUCCUCUAGUCCCAGGUCCAAAAGCUUUAAAAUAUGACAUUGUAUCUCCUUCCAUAAAAAGGUGGAGUCUGCCUCCCUAUCCUUUGAAUUCGGACUGGCAUCGUCACUUGCGUUGGACAAGGUAUAUGGUAGUAGUGUUGAUGUGCGAGUUUUGAGCUUAGAUCAUUGGAGGUCUUCCCCUUUCUUUUUCAGAUCUCUGUGGUUACUCUGUGAAUUGGUCUGUACAGGCCCACUUGAGUACAGAUGAGCCAUUUCAGCUAAGCCUACAAGACACUUCCAGCUAAACCUAGCCCAAAUUGCCAACUUGCAGAAUCUGUCUUCAUCAGGAAGAUCUGUUUGAUGUAGCAAACAGCAUCCUCAACAACAUCCUUAUAGUACAAGUCAUGUGGGUUAUUUUAAAAAUGAGACUUAUUCUCAGUGCUGCACUCUCAAGAAUGAUAGAAUCUGGGCUAUCCCUGUGACUUGCUUUGACUAACGGAAUGUGACAGAAUGACGUUGUGCAACAUCCAAAUCAGGACUUAAGAAACUGUAGGCAGCCAUCAUGCUGUGAACGCAAGCUGUGUGGAGAGACUAAGUGGAGGUGAAUGGAGUCAGUUCAGUCAACAGCCCUACCUGAUAUUUCAGUCCAUAACUAGCCCUGUGUGUCAGCCCUGUGAACAGGUCGUCUUGGACUUUUCACCCCAGUUGAGAAUAAUGACUACAUCCUCAGCUGAUAGCACAUGGAACAGAGGAACUACCUAGCUUAGCUGGGCCCAUAUUGCAGAAUUGUGAGAGAUCAUGAAAAG